Oesophagostomum dentatum (nodular worm) is the source of this 53-nucleotide non-coding RNA. Lineage: Eukaryota; Metazoa; Nematoda; Chromadorea; Rhabditida; Strongylidae. The record is from Rfam.
GGCGCGAUGGCCGAGUGGUUAAGGCGUUGGACUUAAGUUCCAAUGGACGUAAG